GGGGAGGCCAUAGUGGCGAAAGGGAGAGUAACGCGUGGUUACAUGCCCUCGAGUCCGGGAUAGCGGCGGGAAACUGCCCGGUAAUACCGGAUAAUAUCUUUGGAUCAAAGGUGUGAUUCCGCUCGAGGAUUGGACCGCGUUCUAUUAGCUUGUUGGCGGGGUAAUGGCCCACCAAGGCGACGAUGGAUACCGGGUGUGAGAGCAUGGCCCGGCUCACUGGGACUGAGACACUGCCCAGACACCUACGGGUGGCUGCAGUCGAGAAUCUUCGGCAAUGGGGGCAACCCUGACCGAGCGACGCCGCGUGCGGGACGAAGGCCUUCGGGUUGUAAACCGCUGUCAGUUGGGAGGAAAUGCUGGGGGGUUCUCCCCUCAGUUUGACCGAUCUUCAGAGGAAGGACGGGCUAAGUUCGUGCCAGCAGCCGCGGUAAGACGAACCGUCCAAACGUUAUUCGGUAUCACUGGGCUUAAAGCGUGCGUAGGCGGCCUAGUAGGUGAGGUGUGAAAUCCCACGGCUCAACCGUGGAACUGCGCUUCAAACCACUAGGCUCGAGGAUGGCAGGGGUGAUGGGAACUGAUGGUGGAGCGGUGAAAUGCGUUGAUAUCAUCAGGAACACCGGUGGCGAAGGCGCAUCACUGGGCCAUUUCUGACGCUGAGGCACGAAAGCUAGGGUAGCGAACGGGAUUAGAUACCCCGGUAGUCCUAGCCGUAAACGAUGAGCACUAGGUCGAGGGGA
This 737-nucleotide ribosomal RNA is filed under the name uncultured organism. RNAcentral describes it as "bacterial SSU rRNA". It matches the Rfam family "Bacterial small subunit ribosomal RNA", at positions 83 to 829 of the family's 1533-position model. The record is from RNAcentral.